CCAGAUCAGAGGCAGUAGGGAUAACCAGGGAUGUUCUCUGUUUAGUGAGUCCACCAGAUCAGAGGCAGUAGGGAUGACCAGGGAUGUUCUCUGUUUAGUGAGUCCACCAGAUCAGAGGCAGUAGGGAUGACCAGGGAUGUUCUCUGUUUAGUGAGUCCACCAGAUCAGAGGCAGUAGGGAUGACCAGGGAUGUUCUCUGUUUAGUGAGUCCACCAGAUCAGAGGCGGUAGGGGUGACCAGGGAUGUUCUCUGUUUAGUGAGUCCACCAGAUCAGAGGCGGUAGGGGUGACCAGGGAUGUUCUCUGUGUAGUGAGUCCACCAGAUCAGAGGCAGUAGGGGUGACCAGGGAUGUUCUCUUGAUAAGUGUGCGAAUUUGACC
This is a long non-coding RNA of Oncorhynchus tshawytscha (Chinook salmon), 379 nucleotides long. NCBI's taxonomy places the organism in Eukaryota, Metazoa, Chordata, Actinopteri, Salmoniformes, Salmonidae. The record is from Ensembl.